UUCCAGUGGGGAACUAAAAGCCAUCUCUGAAAGUACACAGUGAUUUAUGACAGAUACCUUCUUUCUGUAGAAAUUAUGGUUGCCAGAAGUGAUCCAUCUUUUGGGAAGGCAGGAAUCUGCAGGUGGGCCUUACUAUUAGUUAGUAGUCUCUGUGGAAAUUGGCCCUAGACUAGCAGGCCCACUGAGGAACAAACUCCAAAAGGAGAUGUAUCAAGAAUUGGACUGCAGAGAUGAGCAGAUGGAAGAGAGUGAGGAACCAAUUAGAUGGAGAGAGGCUGAGUUCAGUACAGGCCCUUUCUAGACUGUGGAAGUUGUCCUACAUUACGUAAUACACGUUCACAAGAUAGCUAUCUGAAGCAUGUGGGAAAACUAAGAGAACAAAUGAAUGAUAACCAAUUGUCUGUCUAUAUACAAUUCCAUAACAUUUGGCCUUGCUAGAGUGCCCAGUCCCUGAUGAAAACACGUUUGUGAGGUUCCCAGAUGAUAUCCCAUGACUGUGAUAAUUGUCACGUGCCUGUUUAUUUUUCCCUUGAGAAACUGAAUGAGUUAAAAAAAAAAUCACAACUAAACAAAAGCAUACCAAUAACAGGAAACUGUUGGUGAGAAAUACCCCAAUGUUCCUGUAAAUUCACGUCACCAGAUUCCCCAGGGACAAAGGUGCAUGAACUGCAUGGGUAAAUAAUUAUGAUUUAAUACCGAGACCUUGCAAUGCUGUUUACAGUAAAACAACAAAAAAGAAUUGUUUCUGGAGGCGCAAAUAAGCAAAUAAUAGAAACACAUAUCAAUAUAAUCAGGAAGUGGUGAUGUUAUGUCUAGGUCAGCUACUGAAAACAAUUUGUAAUCUAUCAAAGUAUCUCCUUUGCAAUUGCAAGCAGCAUGAGGUGAGACCUUAGGAGGAAGACAAUGCCUCAUCAUCAGGUUGAUUAGAAAUGAUGGAGAAAAUGGGAUAUUCAGCCUGGAGAAUUUCAGAAGAGUUUUCUGCGCCUUGACACCUGUCUGAUUGCAGGGUUUUUUUUCUCCCAUGGAUGACGAGAGCAAGAGUAACAGCAGAUCCUCCCUCUUCUUUAAAAGGAUUUCCAGCUGGAGAGCAUGUCAGCUUGUGAGCACACCCUAUGGGCACAAGCACACGUGUUCCAGCUAAGAAAAGAAAUGGGUGGCUGUGCUUCAACGGCUCACCUGUGUUCACAUCUGCAAGAUAAGUGCAAGGAUGCAGCAUAUUUCAGCCCAUUAUUUUAAAAGAGUUGAAUGCUCCCCUGGAGGUGUGACAGUCACUAUCUAGUCACUGCUGAUGAUCACAUCAGUGGGUUUUUCCUGGUGAAUUCCCAUUGUUCAUUAAUCAAUAGCUCCUGAUUCCCUGAGUAGGACCCUGGAUGAGGAGACCUGUGCCCCACCUGGAGGUGAAGUGGCCUUUACCCUGAAAGCAUACAGCUGUCAGUGAGCCCAGGAGGAAUGAAGAAGGUUGGGUGUGGGUCAGCUCAUCUGGUUCACAUGAGAAUGUCUGGUUCUCAGACUCCACAAUACAUACAGCAGCACACUUCUUCUGGUCCCCUAGAGUCUUCUCUUUUGGGCGUCCCUUUUGCCUCUGCCUGUAAGUCAUCCAAUAUCUUAUGGGCCUAAAUGGGAUCCUGUUUUGUAAGUCUCUAAGUCAGUCCUCAUUAUGGGCUGAAUUGUGUCCCCCACAAAUUCAUAUGUCACGCUUAACUCCCGGUUACUCAAAAUGUUACUGUAUUUAGAGACAGGGCCUUUAAAGAGGUGACUAAGUUAAAAUGAGGCCAUUAGGAUGGGCUCUAAUCCAAUCUGAUUAGUGUCCUUUAAGAAGAGGAAACUGGGGCACACAAAGGGAUACAAGGAGUGCUCACGCACCAAGGAAAGACCACUGGAGAACAUAGGGAGAAGGCGGCCAUCUACACACCGGUGGGAGAGGCUUCAGAAGGAACCAGACCUGCUGAGGCCUUCAUCGUGGACUUCUGGUCUCCAGAACUGUGAGAAAUAAAUUCCUGCUGUUUAAGCCAC
This is a long non-coding RNA of Manis pentadactyla (Chinese pangolin), 2013 nucleotides long. RefSeq lists it as uncharacterized. NCBI's taxonomy places the organism in Eukaryota, Metazoa, Chordata, Mammalia, Pholidota, Manidae. The record is from RefSeq and is a predicted model, not a curated record. The transcript is spliced from 4 exons.